AGCCGCGUUGUUGAUUUGGGAAACUCAGCACUAUAAUAAUUCCGAGGCUUAAAGUUUACACAUUAAUGGCGGGCCGUCGCCCUUCGGGGUUCGGGCGGAUUACAGAGAUGUGGAAACCCUCAAAUCCUGUCUUUCGGAGUUUACGCAAUCCACUUCGCGGCUUCUUAU
Molecule: small RNA, 168 nt
Filed under: Porphyromonas macacae
Lineage: Bacteria; Pseudomonadati; Bacteroidota; Bacteroidia; Bacteroidales; Porphyromonadaceae
Description: Bacteroidales-1 6S-Bacteroidales RNA suggested
Rfam family: Bacteroidales-1 6S-Bacteroidales RNA suggested
Source: Rfam by way of RNAcentral